Molecule: long non-coding RNA, 366 nt
Organism: Tribolium castaneum (red flour beetle)
Lineage: Eukaryota; Metazoa; Arthropoda; Insecta; Coleoptera; Tenebrionidae
Exons: 2
Source: RefSeq, a predicted model, not a curated record
CUAAUAUCCACAGACUGGCUUAGUGUUGUGUCGACUUUCGUAUCGGGUGCACAACUUUCUAAUUGAUUAUCAAUGACGGGCGCGAUGGUCGUCCUAGCCAUCACGUGUAUAUUUUGUGAAAUAACUCAGACAAGGCCGAGAGAACUACAUUCGAAUUACUUGAAGCCAGUGAGCGCUCCUUCGAUUAGCUACAAGUACGUGGUCAAGCCCAUUCUCCCACAGCAGGACAGUUGGUGGAAGCGAGGGACGCACCACAUACACAGGGACGACACUGGAUACAAAAUAAUUACUCCAUGAAGGUCAUGCUUCCACAAAUGCAAAAAACUGUCUGUGUUAUUAUUAUUUAUUAAACGUAAUUAACCUCGA